Molecule: long non-coding RNA, 2380 nt
Organism: Epinephelus fuscoguttatus (brown-marbled grouper)
Lineage: Eukaryota; Metazoa; Chordata; Actinopteri; Perciformes; Serranidae
Exons: 7
Source: RefSeq, a predicted model, not a curated record
AUUAGAAUGAGAAGAAAUGUUGUCCAGGGCGGUUGGCUGAACUAGCAGCUACAAAGAGCAAGAAACUCAAGAAUAAUGUUUGUUUGAAAACAACUAACGUAAGAUAUAUCUUCGGUUUAAUGCUGCACUGCUGCUCACCGUCAUGACUCAGUCCUCACGUUGAGGCGAGGCGAGACUGGAUGGAGCUAUCUGUCGGUCGGGAAAUGGGAACACAAGCGUACCAUUUGGAAGUGGAAGGAUGCUGUGCUGUGGAGUUUCUCAAUCAUCUCUGUCCCCUUCCCUCAAGCAGGACUGUCAGCUCACUGACCUGGAAGCCAGCUCUUCAUUGCUCAAGCCUGAAGAUGUUAGAGUUCAAGGACGUGGUUAGGAAGGGUGUUUGAGCCACUGUGAACGUGAUGAGCAAAACAUAUCCUGCCAGGAAAAGUUUUCCCUUCAUACUGGGUGGGAGACCUCAACCUGUGAGCUGGCAGACUCGUGCCCAGAAAACCCUGCUAGCCCCGCAGCAGCAGCAGCCACAGGUCCCAACCUAACUUCAGCUGGGACCUCCACCUGCUGCACACAUUGCCUGUCCUUGAUCCUUGAGCUGCAGCAGUCCGACCUGAAUUGACCUGACGCUGGGAAACACAUUUCCAGCUAUCAUACUGUCCAUCAUUGUGACCCAAAUCCUGCCUCCAUUAUGUGUUAUCCCAGAUUCUAUCUGGGGACCUGAACACCAGCAUGCAGGUUUUCACACAGAUGGGCGAUAUGUUGGACCAGAACAGCUUGUCAGAAGUGACAGUCGGCAACAUCAACAGUGCUGCAGCUGCAUGUCAUUCACAGCAUGAACAUCGAUGGCCACUGUGUACCUUGGAAAGACCUCAUGCAGCUCCACAGCUGUACUGUGGGCUAAUUACUGGUGAGCAACACAGGGGAAGUCUAGUUUUGUUUCAUUAAUCAUUAAAUAAAUUUAGGCUUUGCAGUCAUCACCACACAAAAAACCAUGUCCUAGACACACAGUGCAGUAAAUAUGCACAAACUCUUAUCAUAUAUAUGUCUAAUAAUGCUAAUGCAUUUUUUAUUUAAUGGCAACUUUCAUGGCACUCAAGGUCACCCUGCAUCACAUAAGAUCAGUGAUUGUCCUUGUCAUAGCACCCAACUGUUCAGUAAUCCUUUUGAGUCAGAGCAGUCGCGUACAUCACAGUAAUGGCUUUUACUGAGGCUGUUUUGCAGAGGUGACUGGAAUGGGUUGACAGUGUCUGUGGAAUCCUCUGAAGGGAUUGCACUUUUUGUGAUUGCCUUGCAUCAUCAGAGGCCACAGCUCAUCUUAAAUAUCUGCAUAUUCUGUCAGCCGGCAGUAGGUCCAGGCUCAGUAAUGUGUGCAUUUGGGUAAAGUCGGGCCUGGGCAAUAUGACAUGAAAUUCAUAUCAUGGUAGUCAUGUACCUAAGUAAUAAUAAAAGCAUUGAUGUAGUUUAACACCUAUGAGCAUGAUUCUCUACAGGGUAGUCUGUACAAACAGUACCUCCCCUGACAAAGUAGUUAGUGUAACAAGGUCCUGCUAGGUCACAGCUAAACACAGGAUAUGUUCAGCUGCAACCUUGUUAACAGUGGAAUUCACUGCUUGACCGCAGACCCUCAAAUAUCAGAUGUCAGGGUCCUAGACUGAUCAAUCAGAUCACAUUUUUGUUAGUGUGUGAGUUAAAACUUCACGUGGUUGCAUUAAUGCGAGUAUGUGAUGCAGACUGAAGUAUCUAACAAUGACAAAGUGACAGCUGACUCAUAAAUGGGUCUAACAUGUGCAUCGGCAGGUCUGUGUUUUUAACUACUAUUAAGCGACUGUGGGCAGACCACUGCGAGUGGAAACACAAAAAAUUACAACUUCUGCAAUAUCUGCUGCCUUAUGGUCGAUACACAGCUCCGCUCCAAUCUCAUGGCCUGUCUGUGGCACUGAGGCCUUCAGUGUUGAUAGGCUUUUACUGGUGACAGGUAACCAAUCAGAUGGUGCUGUGGAUGGGACAUUGAGCAAAGCUGCAGAGUGGUGACUGACUGCAGACAGCGAGGCAGCUGCAUCAGAGCCAAAGAAGGACAUUUUCAAUUUGUUUUUAGGUUAUCUGAUGUUUUAUAAAACGCAACUUUAAAUAACGAAAGAAAAAAAAAAAAACAACAAAAGGUGAUGGUGUGGCCAACUGAGAAAGUUGGUUGCACCAGUGGAAAAGGUAGUCUGGAGUCAUGGGUCCUUUAAACAAGGGUACAAAGUAAUAACUGUAGAUUGAUUUUUGCACCAGUACCUGCCUUAUUAAACACAUUGGAUUUCGGACAGACAUUUCUGGAUCCUAAAGAAUCAGUAAACCUUUUAAGCCACUGUUUGUGCUUUUGUCAUUUCACUGAAUAAAAAAAAGUUUU